This 477-nucleotide ribosomal RNA is filed under the name uncultured bacterium. Its description in RNAcentral is "bacterial SSU rRNA". It matches the Rfam family "Bacterial small subunit ribosomal RNA", at positions 28 to 517 of the family's 1533-position model. The record is from RNAcentral.
GAUGAACGCUAGCGGCAGGCUUAAUACAUGCAAGUCAAGGGGGUAGCAAUACUACCGGCGCACGGGUGAGUAACACGUACAUAACAUACCAUAUACUGGGGUAUAGCUUUGGGAAACUGAAGGUAAUCCCCCAUAACAUUGCGAGAGGGCAUCUGAUUGCAAUUAAAGUUUCGACGGUAUAUGAUUGAUGUGCGUUUGAUUAGCUUGUUGGUAGGGUAACGGCCUACCAAGGCGACGAUCAAUAGCUGGCGUGAGAGCGCGACCAGCCACACUGGAACUGAGACACGGUCCAGACUCCUACGGGAGGCAGCAGUAGGGAAUAUUGGACAAUGGGCGAAAGCCUGAUCCAGCCAUGCCGCGUGAUAGAUGAAGGCCCUCUGGGUUGUAAAUAUCUUUUAUCUGGGAAGAACAAUCUUAUUCUUAAGAUCUUGACGGUACCAGAGGAAUAAGCACCGGCUAACUCCGUGCCAGCAGCCG